Molecule: non-coding RNA, 72 nt
Organism: Pelotomaculum thermopropionicum
Lineage: Bacteria; Bacillati; Bacillota; Clostridia; Eubacteriales; Desulfotomaculaceae
Source: Rfam
GCGGAAGUGGCUCAGUGGUAGAGCAUCGCCUUGCCAAGGCGAGGGUCGCGGGUUCGAAUCCCGUCUUCCGCU